GAUGAACGCUAGCGGCAGGCUUAACACAUGCAAGUCGAGGGGCAGCAGGGGUAGCAAUACCCGCUGGCGACCGGCAAACGGGUGCGGAACACGUACACAAUCUACCUUUAUCUGGGGCAUAGCCCGAAGAAAUUCGGAUUAACACCCCAUAAAAUAGCAGUCUGGCAUCAGAUAACUAUUAAAUCUCCGGAGGAUAGAGAUGAGUGUGCGUCCCAUUAGCAGUUGGUAGGGUAAAGGCCUACCAAGGCUACGAUGGGUAGCUGGUGUGAGAGCACGACCAGCCACACGGGCACUGAGACACGGGCCCGACUCCUACGGGAGGCAGCAGUGAGGAAUAUUGGUCAAUGGACGCAAGUCUGAACCAGCCAUGCCGCGUGAAGGAUGGAGGGCGUUCUGCGUUGUUAAACUUCUUUUAUCUGGGAAGAAACCCGAGUAUUCUUAUUCGGCCGACGGUACCAGA
RNAcentral lists this ribosomal RNA (460 nucleotides) under uncultured bacterium. RNAcentral describes it as "bacterial SSU rRNA". It matches the Rfam family "Bacterial small subunit ribosomal RNA", at positions 28 to 482 of the family's 1533-position model. The record is from RNAcentral.